UGGCUCAGUGGUUAGAGCGCCCGCCUCAUGAACGGGAGGUCGUGGGUUCGAACCCCGGC
RNAcentral lists this transfer RNA (59 nucleotides) under Strongylocentrotus purpuratus (purple sea urchin). It matches the Rfam family "tRNA", at positions 8 to 63 of the family's 71-position model. Rfam says of the family: Transfer RNA (tRNA) molecules are approximately 80 nucleotides in length. Their secondary structure includes four short double-helical elements and three loops (D, anti-codon, and T loops). Lineage: Eukaryota; Metazoa; Echinodermata; Echinoidea; Camarodonta; Strongylocentrotidae. The record is from Rfam by way of RNAcentral.